Long non-coding RNA from Piliocolobus tephrosceles (Ugandan red Colobus), 1078 nucleotides. The record is from Ensembl. Lineage: Eukaryota; Metazoa; Chordata; Mammalia; Primates; Cercopithecidae.
UAUCUUUGUUUAUACGUGUUUCAUUUUUCACAGUUAUAGAAGCUGAUUUUUUUACCCUUUUUUUCCUUUAUCUUAUUUUAUUAAUCUCCCUUUUUUAUUAAUUUUACCAUAUUUUAGCUCAACAUAAUUUAUUUUAUUUUGCUUAUUUGAUUACUCUGUUUUUAGCUAGUUAAAAAAAAAAUAAAUAAAUAAAAAUAAAAAUAAGGAAUAACCCUUACGUUUUAAUUUGAAAUGUUGGUUAGCCAUUUUUUUUUUUUUUUUUGAUUCAAAAAACAAUAUUUAAAAAAAAAAAAAACCAAGUGCCUUAUUAUUAUAUAUAUUUUUUUUUAUAUAAAACAUUUUUAUAUAUUAUUUUUUAAUAUUUAAUAAUGCUAAUAAAAUAAUAAACUACUUUUCAUGAUUUCUAGGUUUGUUGUUUCUUUUUGUGUCAUUUUAUUUUUACAUUUAUUAUGUAUAUAUAUUAAGAUUUUAUUGAAUUUGUUAUACAGAAAUGAGUAAUAUAUUAAAUCACUUCCGUGUUUUAAAGGUAGUUACUGAAGAUAAUCCGUUAGUGACAUUUAAUUUAUUUGUAGCUAGUACGAAAGAUAAUACGAAUAAUGAUGGAUCAUGUAGUGAAAUAUUAUGUGUUGCUGUACUUGAUAAUAUAAUUAAUGGAGAACAUUUAAGAAAAUUUAUGACUAACUUUGGAGAUGUCGUUUUUUUUAAUAUUACUGAGAAUGAAAAUUUAUCAAUAAACUUAAAAAUAUUUGCAUAUUGUUUAUAUAUAAAGUUUAAAGAACAAGCUGCAAUAGAUGUUAUAUUAAGUUAUAGUGUUAAAAUAAAUGAAUACUUUAAAAAUAAUAUACAGGUACCAUAUUUUAUAAAAAUAGAAAAAAACAAUUAUAGUACCUACAUAAAAGAUUAUUAUAACCAGAAUUACAAUUUAUAUAAUGGUAGAAAAAUAAUAGUUAACGAUAUUAUAAAUUCAAAUAAAGUUAACAAAAAAAAAAAAAAUUGUUAAUACAGUUGAUAGUGAUGGCUUUACGGUUGUUCAAAGGUCGUUGAAUAAACCGGAAAUAGUAAAUUCUGUUUUUUCCCA